GUUGUUGGGUAGGGGAGCGUUCUGUAAGCCGUUGAAGGUGGCCUGUGAGGGCUGCUGGAGGUAUCAGAAGUGCGAAUGCUGACAUAAGUAACGAUAAUGCGGGUGAAAAACCCGCACGCCGGAAGACCAAGGGUUCCUGUCCAACGUUAAUCGGGGCAGGGUGAGUCGACCCCUAAGGCGAGGCUGAAAAGCGUAGUCGAUGGGAAACAGGUUAAUAUUCCUGUACUUGGUGUUACUGCGAGGGGGGGACGGAGAAGGCUAUGUCAUCCGGGCGACGGUUGUCCCGGUUUAAGCGUGCAGGUGGGUGGACCAGGCAAAUCCGGUCUGCUGU
RNAcentral lists this ribosomal RNA (331 nucleotides) under Dickeya dadantii. Its description in RNAcentral is "bacterial LSU rRNA". It matches the Rfam family "Bacterial large subunit ribosomal RNA", at positions 1220 to 1553 of the family's 2925-position model. Lineage: Bacteria; Pseudomonadati; Pseudomonadota; Gammaproteobacteria; Enterobacterales; Pectobacteriaceae. The record is from RNAcentral.